GUUUCUGUAGUGUAGUGGUUCUUCAGUUCGCCUCACACGCGAAAGGUCCCUGUUCGAAACCGGGCAGAAACA
Non-coding RNA from Merluccius polli (Benguela hake), 72 nucleotides. NCBI's taxonomy places the organism in Eukaryota, Metazoa, Chordata, Actinopteri, Gadiformes, Merlucciidae. The record is from the annotation of a GenBank genome assembly.